CCUACGGGAGGCAGCAGUGGGGAAUUUUGGACAAUGGGCGCAAGCCUGAUCCAGCAAUGCCGCGUGCAGGAUGAAGGCCUUCGGGUUGUAAACUGCUUUUGUACGGAACGAAACGGUGAGCUCUAAUACAGUUUGCUAAUGACGGUACCGUAAGAAUAAGCACCGGCUAACUACGUGCCAGCAGCCGCGGUAAUACGUAGGGUGCGAGCGUUAAUCGGAAUUACUGGGCGUAAAGCGUGCGCAGGCGGUGAUGUAAGACAGAUGUGAAAUCCCCGGGCUCAACCUGGGACCUGCAUUUGUGACUGCAUCGCUAGAGUACGGUAGAGGGGGAUGGAAUUCCGCGUGUAGCAGUGAAAUGCGUAGAUAUGCGGAGGAACACCGAUGGCGAAGGCAAUCCCCUGGACCUGUACUGACGCUCAUGCACGAAAGCGUGGGGAGCAAACAGGAUUAGAUACCCUGGUAGUCCACGCCUAAACGAUGUCAACUGGUUGUUGGGUCUUCACUGACUCAGUAACGAAGCUAACGCGUGAAGUUGAACCGGCCUGGGGGUUAGGUUACGGUCCGCGAGGUUAGUUAACGUUACGAAGGAAGUUAGACGGCGNGAGACGNGCGACGGACGACGACGAGGGAGGAGG
Molecule: ribosomal RNA, 635 nt
Filed under: uncultured bacterium
Lineage: Bacteria
Description: bacterial SSU rRNA
Rfam family: Bacterial small subunit ribosomal RNA (bases 1-543)
Source: RNAcentral